CAUAAAUAUGCUAUAGCAGGGCUUGGAAAGUGUGGCCCAGGGACAGCAUAUGCCUCCCAAAACCCCAUAGGAAGCCUCUGAAAUCCCUACUCAUAAAAGGAAUUUUUGAAUUUAAAAAUUCUUUCUUACUGUUCCCAUGCCCUGUAUUGAAAGUGGAUGCAGUUUUGCCAUGGUGAUCUCCCCCAAGCUGUUUUAGAUUCAUGGGGCAACUAUUUAUAAAUGCAGGGUCAGGAAAUGCUGUACGAGUACCAAUGCCACCCUCAAAUUAAACCAUAAACUUCCUGUCUUAUCAGCUGUUUUUAUCAACUGUCAGCAGCUGGAUUUCCUUCUCUAAAUGUUUUUCCAGUGGUAACAGUGAUAUGGGUAUGUGCUUUCAGGGGCCUGACUGUCUCUACUGUGAACAUUCAUUACCCUGAGAAUAUUUAUAUUUAACAAGCAACUUUUUAUGUUUUGAACAUGACCUAAUUUCACAGCCUUUUUGUCUGCCUGACUUCAUUUCUUGCUUUUAAAACAUACGUGAUCUGAAGAAUAAAAUGCUUCAUUACAUAGUUUUGAUUGCUUCAUGAUGCUUGGCUGAUUUUGAGGUUUUGACUUAAAAGAGGGAAAAACCCCUCUUCUUCACUUAGUGAUUAAGUGGGAGAGGAAAAGGGAGAAAAAUGAAGAUCAUCAGUCGUUUGUGGGACUUUAAUUAGUUUCUAAUAGACAUGGGCUCGGUUACUGUUUCAUCUAUUUCAUUCGUGCUUUCGUACUGUUUUGUUUAUUCAGAAUACAUGAAAUGGUACACAGUGGUAUGGAGACACCAGUGAAACAAAUGAAAAGUGAGAAAGGUAACUGUCGUCUGAUUUUUGUGCUUACCAGGGCUGCACAAAAAUAUUUGGUUUUUUCCGGACCUUUUCUGAAACGUUAAUUUGUAUAGGCUCCCAUUUUCAGAAGCAGCACCAGAAAACAAAAAUGAGGCUAUAUGACUGGAACAUACAGAAACAGAUAGCAAUUCCAUACAAAUGC
RNAcentral lists this long non-coding RNA (1005 nucleotides) under Anolis carolinensis (green anole). RNAcentral describes it as "lncRNA (ENSACAG00000036301.1)". Lineage: Eukaryota; Metazoa; Chordata; Lepidosauria; Squamata; Anolidae. The record is from RNAcentral.